CGGAGUUCGUCGCAAUUGAGACGAGUAAAUGUGCUUGGGGGGGUGGAUAGGACACAUCGCGAGACGGGACAGUGGCCGACGGAAGAGACCGGUGGUGGUGGUGGUGGUGGUGAAGAGGCCGCGGCUAAGAGAAGGAACGACGCGGACACAGCGACGAGAUCGAGCGGGAGCAAGGCGGACGCGAGGAGCACUGGACCACGUGGGAAGGCGACGGCGUUGUGGAGAGAUCUUCAUCCAGCAGUGGAUUGACAAUGGCUGGUGCUGCUGCGGAUGAUUAAUAAUGAAUUGGGAUCAACAAUAAUGCCCUGUAAAGCCAGGUCAUUCCGAAGGAUGGAACAAUGCGAACCUUCACAAUGACCACCUGAUUCGAGACCCAAACAUCAUCAGCACCUCCUGGCUUUGACACUUCUGGCAGACGCUCGUUUAACCAUCACUCGCAUCAGCACAUCACCAGGCUGCUGUGAUCAUUUCCUUCUUAUGAAGCGGAGAAGCUGGAGGAAGCCCAAGCAGUAACAGGGGGACGGCGUCCGAACGUCUCAACGAAAGGCGCCCAAGUCGGGAAUCGAACAGAG
Molecule: long non-coding RNA, 572 nt
Organism: Lethenteron reissneri (Far Eastern brook lamprey)
Lineage: Eukaryota; Metazoa; Chordata; Hyperoartia; Petromyzontiformes; Petromyzontidae
Source: RefSeq, a predicted model, not a curated record